GUUGGGUUUGAGCUUGCUAGACCUGCUUACGCACAAACUCAGAAAAUUGAGGUGCGGUUGGGCAUUUACUAACAAAAUAGAUCAGGCUUGCACACAAUGCACAAACAUCUUGGACUGGGUUAGGUAGAAUCGGGAAGUAUCUAGUAUUCAGAAGACAGUCUAAUUUUUGGGACAACUCAUUUAUCUCACUAUGGAUAUCCAUAACAUUUUCAAUCUGAUAGAUUCCACCUCUUUUCUAUUG
This 241-nucleotide long non-coding RNA is filed under the name Elaeis guineensis (African oil palm). Its description in RNAcentral is "long non-coding RNA (EGUI_LNC057665)". The record is from RNAcentral. Lineage: Eukaryota; Viridiplantae; Streptophyta; Magnoliopsida; Arecales; Arecaceae.